Molecule: ribosomal RNA, 406 nt
Filed under: uncultured bacterium
Lineage: Bacteria
Description: partial 16S ribosomal RNA
Rfam family: Bacterial small subunit ribosomal RNA
Source: RNAcentral
AUUGAACGCUGGCGGCAUGCCUAACACAUGCAAGUCGAGCGAGCGGCGGACGGGUGAGUAAUGUGUGGGAAACUGCCUGAUGGAGGGGGAUAACUACUGGAAACGGUAGCUAAUACCGCAUACCAUCAGAUGUGCCCAGAUGGGAUUAGCUAGUGGGUGGGGUAAUGGCUUACCCAGGCGACGAUCCCUAGCUGGUCUGAGAGGAUGACCAGCCACACUGGAACUGAGACACGGUCCAGACUCCGACGGGAGGCAGCAGUGGGGAAUAUUGCACAAUGGGCGCAAGCCUGAUGCAGCAAUGCCGCGUGUGUGAAGAAGGCCUUCGGGUUGUAAAGCACUUUCAGCAGGGAAGCGUUACCCGCAGAGGAAGCAACGGCUAACUCCGUGCCAGCAGCCGCGGUAAUAC